RNAcentral lists this transfer RNA (73 nucleotides) under Treponema sp. Its description in RNAcentral is "tRNA-Trp". It matches the Rfam family "tRNA". From Rfam's summary of the family: Transfer RNA (tRNA) molecules are approximately 80 nucleotides in length. Their secondary structure includes four short double-helical elements and three loops (D, anti-codon, and T loops). Further hydrogen bonds mediate the characteristic L-shaped molecular structure. tRNAs have two regions of fundamental functional importance: the anti-codon, which is responsible for specific mRNA codon recognition, and the 3' end, to which the tRNAs corresponding amino acid is attached (by aminoacyl-tRNA synthetases). tRNAs cope with the degeneracy of the genetic code in two manners: having more than one tRNA (with a specific anti-codon) for a particular amino acid; and 'wobble' base-pairing, i.e. permitting non-standard base-pairing at the 3rd anti-codon position. RNAcentral also lists the same sequence under 3 other names. Lineage: Bacteria; Pseudomonadati; Spirochaetota; Spirochaetia; Treponematales; Treponemataceae. The record is from RNAcentral.
AGGUCAGUAGUUCAGUUGGUAGAGCAUCGGUCUCCAAAACCGAGUGUCGCGGGUUCGAGUCCUGCCUGGCCUG